UAACACAUGCAAGUCGAGCGAGGUAUUUAUACCUAGCGGCGGACGGGUGAGUAACACGUGGGUAACCUGCCUCAGAGAGGGGAAUAGCCUUCCGAAAGGAAGAUUAAUACCGCAUAAUAUAUACUUUUAGCAUUAUGAGUAUAUCAAAGGAGCAAUCCGCUUUGAGAUGGGCCCGCGGCGCAUUAGCUAGUUGGAGAGGUAACGGCUCACCAAGGCGACGAUGCGUAGCCGACCUGAGAGGGUGAUCGGCCACAUUGGAACUGAGACACGGUCCAGACUCCUACGGGAGGCAGCAGUGGGGAAUUUUGCGCAAUGGGGGAAACCCUGACGCAGCAACGCCGCGUGAGUGAUGAAGGCUUUCGGGUCGUAAAGCUCUGUCUAGAGGGAAGAAAUGAUAGUCGGUUAAUACCCGGUUUUCUUGACGGUACCUCUGAAGGAAGCACCGGCUAACUCCGUGCCAGCAGCCGCGGUAAU
Molecule: ribosomal RNA, 474 nt
Filed under: uncultured Clostridium sp.
Lineage: Bacteria; Bacillati; Bacillota; Clostridia; Eubacteriales; Clostridiaceae
Description: bacterial SSU rRNA
Rfam family: Bacterial small subunit ribosomal RNA
Source: RNAcentral